Non-coding RNA from Ameiurus melas (black bullhead), 75 nucleotides. The record is from the annotation of a GenBank genome assembly. Lineage: Eukaryota; Metazoa; Chordata; Actinopteri; Siluriformes; Ictaluridae.
GCUUAGUUAUUAUUCAGUCGGUAGAGCAUGAGACUCUUAAUCUCAGGGUUGUGGGUUCGAGCCCAACGUUGGGCG